This 433-nucleotide ribosomal RNA is filed under the name uncultured bacterium. Its description in RNAcentral is "partial 16S ribosomal RNA". It matches the Rfam family "Bacterial small subunit ribosomal RNA", at positions 29 to 507 of the family's 1533-position model. The record is from RNAcentral.
AACGAACGCUGGCGGCAUGCCUAACACAUGCAAGUCGAACGAGACCUUCGGGCCUAGUGGCGCACGGGUGCGUAACGCGUGGGAACCUGCCCUUAGGUUCGGAAUAACUCCCCGAAAGGGGUGCUAAUACCGGAUAAUCUCUUCGGACCAAAGAUCUAUCGCCUCGGGAUGGGCCCGCGUUGGAUUAGCUAGUUGGUAGGGUAAAAGCCUGCCAAGGCGACGAUCCAUAGCUGGUCUGAGAGGAUGAUCAGCCACACUGGGACUGAGACCCGGCCCAGACUCCUACGGGAGGCAGCAGUGGGGAAUAUUGGACAAUGGGCGAAAGCCUGAUCCAGCAAUGCCGCGUGAGUGAUGAAGGCCUUAGGGUUGUAAAGCUCUUUUACCCGGGAUGAUAAUGACAGUACCGGGAGAAUAAGCUCCGGCUAACUCCGUG